This 377-nucleotide ribosomal RNA is filed under the name uncultured bacterium. RNAcentral describes it as "bacterial SSU rRNA". It matches the Rfam family "Bacterial small subunit ribosomal RNA", at positions 523 to 898 of the family's 1533-position model. The record is from RNAcentral.
AUACGUAGGGCGCGAGCGUUGUCCGGAUUCAUUGGGCGUAAAGAGCUCGUAGGCGGCCUGCCGCGUCUGCCGUGAAAGCCCACGGCUCAACCGUGGGUCUGCGGCGGAUACGGGCGGGCUUGAGGCUGGUAGGGGCAAGCGGAAUUCCUGGUGUAGCGGUGAAAUGCGCAGAUAUCAGGAGGAACACCGGUGGCGAAGGCGGCUUGCUGGGCCAGUCCUGACGCUGAGGAGCGAAAGCGUGGGGAGCGAACAGGAUUAGAUACCCUGGUAGUCCACGCCGUAAACGUUGGGCGCUGGGUGUGGGGGCUUUCCACGGUUCCCGUGCCGUAGCUAACGCGUUAAGCGCCCCGCCUGGGGAGUACGGCCGCAAGGCUAAA